RNA transcript from Hibiscus syriacus, 2040 nucleotides. RefSeq lists it as uncharacterized. The transcript has 5 exons. The record is from RefSeq and is a predicted model, not a curated record. NCBI's taxonomy places the organism in Eukaryota, Viridiplantae, Streptophyta, Magnoliopsida, Malvales, Malvaceae.
GCGCUCUCUACUUGUUUAUUUUUCCUCUUCUCCCCUUUCAAGCCUCCACGCUUCUUGCUCGUGUUUAGCAUCUGAAUCGAAUUCAAACCGAUUCCGUAUUCUGCCUCUGCUCGGGAAGCUAUGUCGAAGCAGUCAGAGCAAGAAAAUCUAAACAAGUUGACACAGCAGGAGGACUUAACUAGUGCAAAUCACCGGUUGAGGUCUCAGUCGCCAGCGCCUUACGCUGUAAUGGGUGCCAGUUCUUUGGCUCCCGGGGAAUGUUCCAAUGAUAAUUGGGGAUUUUUUUAUUCUCCCGGCUAUAUCCGCCAGUUGACUCUUUCCAAACUUUUUGAUGAAGACGAAGACGAGGAGCUGUUCCGGCAAGGAUUUGGAUCUAUCACGCAAACUAGAGAAACGAAUCCGAAUUGGGAAUCAUAUUCAACGCCUAGGCCGUCGCCAGAAGAAGGAGAAGAUGGAGCUCAGAGUAUUGAACCCGACCCAACUCACCGGGAUCUCGUUGAAGAAGCUUCAGACGAACCAAGGGUAACACCUAGCCAUCUCGAAAAAGAAGGGACACCAUCUCAAGCCUGCCCUGGAAGGAAGCGUCGAAAGAUCAUCCCCAGUAAAGAGGACGAAAGAGUGCAGAAAAAAAGAGAUGCGGAUAAGAAGUAUAGAGCGGACAUUAGGAGGGAGGUAACGGAGCAUAGGAGGAUGAAGCCUGAGUACGAUAGAGUAAUGGAAGUUGCGUCCAGAUUUGGGGGGAUUGAUGAAAUGGAGUCGCAGAUGAACCACAUGAACUCUGAGUUACGUAGAAUACAACAAAAAGAGGUAGAUCGCCAAUUAUUUGAAACCGAGCUGAAUCGAUUAGGACAAAUGAAGUCAAAGUAUGGGGGAAUUGACCAAAUGGAGUUCAAGUUGGAUAAAUUUAAGCAAUUGGAGGCACAGUUCAAUCGACUGGAAUCAAUGAAAUCCAAGUACGGAGGAAUUGAGAAAAUGGAGUCCAUGUUGGAUAGAUUCAUGGUAAUGGAGGCCGAGUCCCGUAAACUAAAUGAAAUCAAAUCUAAGUUGGGAAUUCACGAAAUAGGGUCCAUACUGCAAAAAUGGAAGGAAAUGGGGGACGAAUUACGUAGAUUCAACCAAAUAAAGUCGAAAUUUGGCGGAAUAGAUGAAAUUGAGCCGAAAUCAUAGGCUAAAGAAAAUGGAGUUGCAAUUCGAAAAGCAUAAGCACACGGUGAACCAAAACCAACUUCCACUGGAAAGGAGCACAUCGCAGUUAUUGGACUUGAUUGGCGACUCUGGCAAUGUAUGGUUCAUGCGUUACACCUCUUGGUUUUUUCUUUUUUCAUUCUCUUCUUGGAUUCAACUAGAUAAUAAUGCUUCAGGUGUCAUAUCAGUGUGGGAUUAAUCUAAACUCUUUGACCACUGAGAGCGGGCAACACCUGACUUGCAGUACUCUGAUGUUCUUGUGGAUCAACUAAUCGCUAAAGUCACCGAUGAAAACGUUGCCAGCAACUUGGACACCAACAGCUUCAAAGAUUUAUUAACGGCGCUUGGGAAAAUGUCAGCAACUGCAAAAUCCCAUCAGCUCUGGUCACACCGCUCGUUCUGUUUUCGACGUCUAUGGUGAUAUCAAGAAAAAUUGUAAAUUGAGUGGCAUCACCGUUCACACAAUAUUUGUUUUGCUUUGCGCUGCGAUCAAGGAGAUGGGAGAUCUGACGCUUGAUCGAGUUACAGAAGAGAUUAUAUGGAGGUUGAGAGACCCUAUCAUGGAUGCUAAACGCUGUGAUUUUGAUGUCGGCUUUGCCAUGAAUAUUUGAAAUUGCUUGUUCAAGGCUACUUUGGUAUCAAAGCACGCAAGGACCACAAUAGCUUGGAGAAGAUCAUUACAUGUUUGAAGGCCGAUGAAGCUGCCCUGAGAACGGAGCUUGAUAAGAAUCACGAGAGAUAAUGACCAUGGAAGCCAAACAGCGGAACUAACAUCUGACAAGUGCAGGAUUUGCCUCGACUCCGCUAACAAAAUUUUGUACAAAACUGUCGGUAUUUUUUAAUUAUUUCUGUAGG